Non-coding RNA from Notechis scutatus (mainland tiger snake), 3407 nucleotides. Lineage: Eukaryota; Metazoa; Chordata; Lepidosauria; Squamata; Elapidae. The record is from RefSeq and is a predicted model, not a curated record.
GUUUGUUUGCAGUAUUUUAAUACAGCAUUAAACUGUCAUAACACUAAAGACAAGGUAAUACUAUCCAGCAAUUAAGGCACAUGUCGGAAUGCCAUUUUAUGGACAAUCCACAGCAGAAUUUCGACAGUCUUUUCCGCAACCUUUUUUAUAUACUCAGUUGUCACUUUGGUGGCUGAGCUAAGCCUGUCUUCUCUGAGGCCCAUGUCCAUAGAAAAGUUAUUAUUUUCUUCAUUAAAAAAAAAAGCUGUACAAGUUAAUGACCAGUUAAAGAAGAGAAAAAUUAUACAACUGAGAACUCAAAUGAGUACAGCUAGAAUUUGUUUUUCUUUUAAGUAAGUAAUUAAACGAAUUGAAAUUGGCAGAAAUUAAUAUAAUGACAACAUUAGUUUCAUAUAUUGUAGUUUGCUGCUCUAAAUAACUUUUGUAAGAGACAUUAAGAGCUCAGUGCAGGUAUGAGCUCGCUUUAAACAGGGUUUAAAACAAAUAAUCUUAAUAUAACAGAACUAUGGGAAACCAUAAAGAAUAAGAUGCAUAUAAUAUACAUGAGUCUAGCAUGCAUAUUGUAUCACGUUAUGCAUUCUAAAUAAUAAUAAUCACAAAAUGCUUAUAUCACUGCAACCCUUUCUCAGUUACAGCCGAUGACCACGUGCAUUGCUUUAAUGCCAGUGUUAUUGCUUUCCAGACCUCAAUGAUAUGUUUCUUCAACAGUUUUCAGCAUCGCUGGAUAGGGCAAAACUUACCCUGCUCACCUCUAAGAUGCAGUAUAAAAAAAUAAACACAUCCAACCAUACUAUGGUAUUUAUGAAACAGCAACUCUUUGGAUCAUUUCACACUUUACACAAAAAGACACUCGGAGUUCUCCAAGAGAGAGAGAGAGAGUGCAUGCCACAAAGAAUGGUGCUAAACUGUCCAGCAGACCAAUCUGGUUCAUGUAUGUGCUUUUUAUUUUCUGAAAUAUGAUCCUUCAGCUAUGGAAUUUGUUGGAAUUCAUUGUUGGAAUGUAUGUCUAUGCAACAACUAAAGUAGUAUGCAGCCAGUAGAUGGCAGUGUUUAUAAGUUUGGAUCUAUGCUAUAUUUUCUAUGCUCUAAGUAAGUUUCCUAUUUCCUGAUGCAGUUGAGCAGUUAAGCAGUAAAGCACAUGGUGACAGUGCUUUACUACUCUGUGGUGCUAUAUAUGAACAAAAUUUCUAACAGAAAUGAAGAUUUUGUUUUUGUUUUUAACAGAAAGAUCUCAGGUGUGCGUUUAAGUGGAAUGUGUGAAAAAUAUCCAAAGAGCAUUUGUGCUUCAGUUUUUAUCGAUGCACUAGAGUUUCUGCUGACAAUGGGCAGAUGUGGCAGUCAUUAGGCCCAGCCCAAAUGUAUGUCUUAGGUCUGAAUUGUUAGUGUGUUUCUCUCAAGGCCAUUAAGUGGAAAAAAGUAACUCCAAAACCUGAUUCUUACAAAAUCAGUCCUAGCUUUUCUAAAAAGGCAAUAAUACUUUCCAUAAUACACAUAUAAAUAAGUUGAAUAAGCAUAUGAAUAUAAGUUCUAAACACCCAAAUAAUACACUGGUUACUUAAUACUGAUAUUUUCAUCCAAAUAUAAGCAGUAAGAAGAACAAUAUGGCUUAAAAGAAUGGUAAGGCUUCAUUUUCUUGUCAGAAUUAUGUAUCAACUUUCAUAUAAUAUUCUAUGUAGACAAUAUUUCCUUCUUAAUGUAGCUCGGUUGCAUAUUUUAUACAGACAAAGGCACUGUAAAAAAGAAAAAGAAAAAAAAUAACAAAUUCCUUCCAUAAAUAUUUUCUUGAGGAUACACCCUUAAUUUUGUAUAAUACUUAAGAAAACUCUUAGCUCGGUUAGUAUCAUAGUAUAGAAAACUAAGACCCUUUCUGGAAGCUUCAGAGUUGUAAAAACACUUUUAAAAAGCCUCGAGCAAAACUAACAAUAGUAAUUUUAAAAGACCCUCAAAUAUAUACAGAAAGGUUACUGCAAAGUCUUCCAAUAACAAUUCAGUAUUACAAAGAAAUAUUUGUAACCAUUCAAAAAUUUUAAACAUCUAAAAAGUUCUCCAAAAUACACACACACACAGUAUUAAAAAAAAUGGAGAGGAACACUAUGUCAAGUAUAACUCAAGAUAAAUACACUUCAGCAAGUAAAACUGUAAAAUAUUUCAUAACAAGGGAGAGUAAACAUUAAUAUCCAUGGACUACAUGUAUUAACUGCACACGAUUGUCCCUUUGACAAUUAUCCUAAGAAAACACAAGCCUUCAUUUUGUUCAGUUACCCUAAUAGGCUCAAUCAGUGCUACAAUCACACAGAAAUAUUUCUAGAGGCAGUGGUUUUUUGCAGACGUGAAAGGAAAGAGCACUGAAAUUUUAGCUAGGUAUAAAGUCAUGUCUUACAACAGCGGCCCCUAACCCUUUGGGGCACCAGGGACCAGUUCCGUGGAGAGAGGUUUUCCCGUGGACCAGAGGUGACACAGUUUUGCGUGCUGCCCAGAGGUGGUAUUCAGCUGGUUCGGACCGGUUCUGGCGUACCGGUAGUGGAAAUUUUGAGUCGUUUGGAGAACCGGCAAAUACCACCUCUGGCUGGCCUCGCCCACCUGCCCCCACUGUUACCUCUCCUAAAUUGCCUUGUUUUUUAGCUCAGCUGAUUGGCAGAGUGGAUUGCCGCACCUCAGCUGAGCUGAAAACAGCACAGCUCACCAGCAUUGAUAUAGAGGGCGGUCUUUGAGCUCUGCAUGCUCUCAGAACUGGUAGGAAAAAAAUUUGGAAACCCCCCACAGAUGGGGCUUCACUUGUUUGCAUUGCCUGGUUUCUGGCAUGCUGCGGCCCAGGCCAGGUUCGCAUCCCCCGGGGGUCGGGGACCCCUAUCUUACAAGACGAUGUGGCAUGAAGCAUUCUUAGAAGGCCGAAUUAGAAUCUACUCUCUGUUGAAUUGCAGUAUCGCAAGGCUGAUAGAGGAAUUCAAUAUAAGGCAUGUAGGACAUCACUGCCCCACUCAUCCAUGCAGGUCAUUUGCAGCCCCUGAAUGAAAAUCUUCACAAUUCAGUUUAAAACCAACCCUUUUAGAGGCAAUCUCAACAGAUACUCAAAAAUCAUACCGUACACAAUUGGUUUGUUUCAUCAAUAGCACUGCUAUUAAUUCUUGCUAUCGAUUCUUUUCUCAGCUGGCUUUAAAGUCAGGGUGUUUCCUGGAUUCUGUCUGCCACUAACCUUAAUCAAAUUGCAGAAUACUCUCCAGAAGAUAUCUUUUGAGCAUAAGGUAUUAAACCUACAUGAAAUGGCUUGGGCUGGGAUCUCCUGCUUGAGCAGGGGUUGGGCUAGAAGGCCUCCACAGUCCCUUCCAAAUUCGUUAUUCUGUUAAGAUAAUUAAGAACAACUGCCAGCUAUUUAAAAUGAAUUGUGCUCCGCUGGCCUUCAUUUUUAA